GAAGUUUUAGAUUUUAUCCCAGCAGUUUAUUUAUUUAUUGAUCAACGUGUAUCACAUGAGAUUGUUUUUAUUCUUAAGUUUGUACAUAUGUUUUAAAGAAUGGAAUAUUAUGAAUUAACCAAAUUAUUUGUAAAUCUUGUGAAUUAUUUCAAAAUUAUUAAUAAAAUAAUUAAACAGUAAAAAAAAUUUUUUUUGUUCAUUAAUUUACAAGAAAAAAAGGUAACGCCAUCUAUAUGUCAGAUUACGAACUUUUCAGCUCAUCAACCUAUUUGAUAGAAUCACAAAACUUAGAUAAAAUCUACAGAUUACUACAGAGGUAUUAAUUUUAAAAUACGUUUAACAUAUGCGAAUGUUGGCUGCAUUAGCAUAUGUUUCUUUAGAAAUGCUUAUGAAGCACUUACUGACACUACAUUUUUUCUUGAAAAAUGAAAACAUUUUCCUCAAUUUCCUCGACUACUUUGAGGAAAUUUGGAUUGGUUAUAAAACAGGCAGAAGAAAACACAUAUGCAACCGAAAUAUCUUAUUGCACUUUUAAUUGUUAUAAAAGUCCCACAAAUAAUCUUCCAACGACAAAUAACUAUAUUGAUGGAUGACACAAAGGCUUACAAGUUAAAUAGCUGUUCAUCAUCUUACACUAUGGAAGUUUAUUGAAUGCCUACAAAAAAAUCAAAAUUUCGAAGAAAUUUAAAUGGAAAAUUAUAAUUUGGAUUACCAGACAAAAAAAAAAAAAAGCUCAUUGAAAAUUCAUUAAAUCCAUUCGAUGCUUCUACAUUAUUUUCACAAUAGGAAUCCAUAUAAUAACUAUUGUUGUUAUUGUUCAAAAUUUUUGUUGGAUCUAACACCAUAAAAUUAACAGAGGCGUCAGUCAAGCCCUCAGAUUCUGUCUCAAUAAAAUCAAUAGGACUUGAUAAACCAACAACGCCAUUGACAGAACUCAUUUUAGCGUCUCCUGGGAUUUGAGGGUAAUACUCUGCUUCAUGGGGCAUUGAGUACAUGAAGUCCAAAGAAGAUUCAUGUGCGAUACUAUUGCUACCGUCGGAACUAGUAAUUUCAGUCUUCACCAUAUACUGAUACUGGUCAUGAUCCUGGUAUCGAUGUUGAUUGUGAUGACUAAGAGAAACAUCGUCGGCUUGGUAACAGCGGAAGUCUUCAGCAGGAUGGCGAUAACUCUGCUGCCAUCCUACCAAGUCAUCACAAUGCGUCGACAUAGGGGGACUUUUGUGGUGGAUAGUACCACUACCCAAGUCCAGUACAGUUGUCGGCGACUUAUUCGCAUACUCUGAUGUGCCUUGUACGGGUUGUUGAAACAUGUCAUUGGGAGAAGAAGUGACACAAGGUUGGGAUUGGCCAAAUGCAUCUGGACCCAAAGCCACAGCAAAAUCAAUGGGAGUAGGGUUAGCCAACGGCAACGGAUAAUGCUGCACACUUGACCAAUCUUGGUUAUGAUCGCCAGACAAGAAAGUCUGUUCAACCAUUCCCGUGUCCGUUGUCUGAGGUAACUCUAGACGGCUGCAAACGCAACAAUAAGGGAGACAAGAACAGUUUGAAUCUAAAAAAUAUACAUCAUUAGAAACUUUCAAAAUAAAAAUGGGACCACUCGUCUUUUGUUUCCUUAAAGUAUCACUCUAAAAAAAAAAAGAAAGAAUUCCUCAAUACUUCAUAAUCAAUAUCUAAUAUAUUUCGUGCUAUUUUCAGUUAAUUUAUACUUUAUAUAGUUGAAUGAAAUUAAGGUUAAAAUGAUCCAAUAG
This is a long non-coding RNA of Daktulosphaira vitifoliae (grape phylloxera), 1748 nucleotides long. RefSeq lists it as uncharacterized. The transcript is spliced from 5 exons. The record is from RefSeq and is a predicted model, not a curated record. Lineage: Eukaryota; Metazoa; Arthropoda; Insecta; Hemiptera; Phylloxeridae.